This 552-nucleotide ribosomal RNA is filed under the name uncultured bacterium. RNAcentral's name for it is "bacterial SSU rRNA". It matches the Rfam family "Bacterial small subunit ribosomal RNA", at positions 355 to 896 of the family's 1533-position model. The record is from RNAcentral.
UAGGGAAUCUUCGGCAAUGGACGGAAGUCUGACCGAGCAACGCCGCGUGAGUGAAGAAGGUUUUCGGAUCGUAAAGCUCUGUUGUAAGAGAAGAACGAGUGUGAGAGUGGAAAGUUCACACUGUGACGGUAUCUUACCAGAAAGGGACGGCUAACUACGUGCCAGCAGCCGCGGUAAUACGUAGGUCCCGAGCGUUGUCCGGAUUUAUUGGGCGUAAAGCGAGCGCAGGCGGUUAGAUAAGUCUGAAGUUAAAGGCUGUGGCUUAACCAUAGUAGGCUUUGGAAACUGUUUAACUUGAGUGCAAGAGGGGGGAGAGUGGAAUUCCAUGUGUAGCGGUGAAAUGCGUAGAUAUAUGGAGGAACACCGGUGGCGAAAGCGGCUCUCUGGCUUGUAACUGACGCUGAGGCUCGAAAGCGUGGGGAGCAAACAGGAUUAGAUACCCUGGUAGUCCACGCUGUAAACGAUGAGUGCUAGGUGUUAGACCCUUUCCGGGGUUUAGUGCCGUAGCUAACGCAUUAAGCACUCCGCCUGGGGAGUACGACCGCAAGGUUG